This is a non-coding RNA of Acanthosepion pharaonis, 102 nucleotides long. Lineage: Eukaryota; Metazoa; Mollusca; Cephalopoda; Sepiida; Sepiidae. The record is from the annotation of a GenBank genome assembly.
CAUACUGAAAUACAAGUUCUCGUCUGAUCACUGAAGUUAAACAACAUCAAGCCUGGUCAGUGCCUUGAUGGGUAACCACUUGAGAAUACCAGGUGCUGUAAG